This 426-nucleotide ribosomal RNA is filed under the name uncultured bacterium. Its description in RNAcentral is "bacterial SSU rRNA". It matches the Rfam family "Bacterial small subunit ribosomal RNA", at positions 355 to 774 of the family's 1533-position model. The record is from RNAcentral.
UAGGGAAUCUUGCGCAAUGAGGGAAACCUUGACGCAGCGACGCCGCGUGCGGGAAGAAGGCCUUCGGGUUGUAAACCGCUUUCAGGAGGGACGAAGCCACUCGGGUUAAUAGCCCAGAGGGUGACGGUACCUCCAGAAGAAGCCCCGGCUAACUACGUGCCAGCAGCCGCGGUAAUACGUAGGGGGCAAGCGUUGUCCGGAUUUAUUGGGCGUAAAGAGCGUGUAGGCGGCCAUACAGGUCCGUUGUGAAAACUGGAGGCUUAACCUCCAGACGUCGAUGGAAACCGUAUGGCUAGAGUCCGGAAGAGGAGAGUGGAAUUCCUGGUGUAGCGGUGAAAUGCGCAGAUAUCAGGAAGAACACCCGUGGCGAAGGCGGCUCUCUGGGACGGUACUGACGCUGAGACGCGAAAGCGUGGGGAGCGAACA